CAACCUUCCAGUUCCUAGACCAAUGCUCUAACCACUAGGCUACCCUGCAGCCUCUACACUCUAACCACUAGGCUACCCUGCAGCCUCUACACUCUAACCACUAGGCUACCCUGCCACCUCUACACUCUAACCACUAGGCUACCCUGCCGCCCCCACACUCUAACCACUAGGCUACCCUGCCGCCCCUACACUCUAACCACUAGGCUACCCUGCCGCCCCUACACUCUAACCACUAGGCUACCCUGCCGCCACUACACUCUAACCACCAGGCUACCCUGCCGCCACUACAAUCUAACCACUAGGCUACCCUGCCGCCCCUACACUCUAACCACUAGGCUACCCUGCCGCCUCUACACUCUAACCACUAGGCUACCCUGCCGCCCCUACACUCUAACCACUAGGCUACCCUGCCGCCACUACACUCUAACCACUAGGCUACCCUGCCGCCCCUACACUCUAACCACUAGGCUACCCUGCCGCCCCUACACUCUAACCACUAGGCUACCCUGC
Long non-coding RNA from Oncorhynchus tshawytscha (Chinook salmon), 510 nucleotides. The record is from Ensembl. NCBI's taxonomy places the organism in Eukaryota, Metazoa, Chordata, Actinopteri, Salmoniformes, Salmonidae.